This 465-nucleotide ribosomal RNA is filed under the name uncultured bacterium. RNAcentral's name for it is "partial 16S ribosomal RNA". It matches the Rfam family "Bacterial small subunit ribosomal RNA", at positions 30 to 507 of the family's 1533-position model. The record is from RNAcentral.
AUUGAACGCUGGCGGCAUGCUUUACACAUGCAAGUCGGACGGCAGCGGGGUAGUGCUUGCACUACUGCCGGCGAGUGGCGGACGGGUGAGUAAUAUAUUGGAACGUAUCGAGUAAUGGGGGAUAACCAAUCGAAAGAUUGGCUAAUACCGCAUACGCUCUGAGGAGGAAAGCAGGGGACCUUCAUGCCUUGCGGUAUUCGUGCGGCCACUAUCUGAUUAGCUAGUUGGUGGGGUAAGGGCCUACCAAGGCGACGAUCAGUAGCGGGUCUGAGAGGAUGAUCGGCCACAUUGGCAGGGAGACCCGGUCCGAAAUCCUACAGAAGGCAGCGGUGGGGAAUAUUGCAAUAUGGGGGAAACCCAGAUGGAGUGACGCCGCGUGAACGAAGAAGGUAGUAGUAUAGUAAAGGUCUGUCCUAUGGGAAGGUAAUGACAGUACCAAAGAAGAAAGCUCCGGCUAAAUCCGUG